CUGGCGGCAUGCUUUACACAUGCAAGUCGGACGGCAGCACAGAGAAGCUUGCUUCUUGGGUGGCGAGUGGCGAACGGGUGAGUAACAUAUCGGAACGUACCGAGUAGUGGGGGAUAACUGAUCGAAAGAUCAGCUAAUACCGCAUACGUCUUGAGAGGGAAAGCAGGGGACCUUCGGGCCUUGCGCUAUUCGAGCGGCCGAUAUCUGAUUAGCUAGUUGGUGGGGUAAAGGCCUACCAAGGCGACGAUCAGUAGCGGGUCUGAGAGGAUGAUCCGCCACACUGGGACUGAGACACGGCCCAGACUCCUACGGGAGGCAGCAGUGGGGAAUUUUGGACAAUGGGCGCAAGCCUGAUCCAGCCAUGCCGCGUGUCUGAAGAAGGCCUUCGGGUUGUAAAGGACUUUUGUCAGGGAAGAAAAGGCUGUUGCUAAUAUCAGCGGCUGAUGACGGUACCUGAAGAAUAAGCACCGGCUAACUACGUGCCAGCAGCCGCGGUAAUACGUAGGGUGCGAGCGUUAAUCGGAAUUACUGGGCGUAAAGCGAGCGCAGACGGUUACUUAAGCAGGAUGUGAAAUCCCCGGGCUCAACCUGGGAACUGCGUUCUGAACUGGGUGACUAGAGUGUGUCAGAGGGAGGU
Molecule: ribosomal RNA, 637 nt
Filed under: Neisseria cinerea
Lineage: Bacteria; Pseudomonadati; Pseudomonadota; Betaproteobacteria; Neisseriales; Neisseriaceae
Description: bacterial SSU rRNA
Rfam family: Bacterial small subunit ribosomal RNA
Source: RNAcentral